UCGCCUGUUUAUCAAAAACAUCUUUUCUCGUUAGUUUUUGAAGUAUGGCCUGCCCGCUGACUUUAGUGUUGAAGGGCCGCGGUAUUUUGACCGUGCAAAGGUAGCAUAGUCAUUAGUUCUUUAAUUGUGAUCUGGUAUGAAUGGCUUGACGAGGCAUGGGCUGUCUUAAUUUUUAAUUGUUUAUUGAAUUUGGUCUUUGAGUUAAAAUUCUUAGAUGUUUUUAUGGGACGAGAAGACCCUAUAGAGUUUAACAUUUGUUAUGGUCCCUUUUCUGUUUGUGAGGGUUCAUUGGGCCGUUUAAUAUGUUUUGUUGGGGUGAUGGGAGGGAUUAAUUUAACCCCUCCUUUUUAUUAUUAUAUUUAUUUAUAUUUACUUGAUCCA
This 381-nucleotide ribosomal RNA is filed under the name Reticulitermes hunanensis. RNAcentral describes it as "partial 16S ribosomal RNA". Lineage: Eukaryota; Metazoa; Arthropoda; Insecta; Blattodea; Rhinotermitidae. The record is from RNAcentral.